Molecule: ribosomal RNA, 250 nt
Filed under: uncultured bacterium
Lineage: Bacteria
Description: partial 16S ribosomal RNA
Rfam family: Bacterial small subunit ribosomal RNA
Source: RNAcentral
UACGGAGGGUGCAAGCGUUAAUCGGAAUUACUGGGCGUAAAGCGCGUGUAGGCGGCUUUGCAAGUCGGUUGUGAAAUCCCCAAGCUCAACUUGGGAACUGCACUCGAGACUGCAUUGCUAGAGUAUGGGAGAGAGAAGUGGAAUUUCCGGUGUAGCGGUGAAAUGCGUAGAUAUCGGAAGGAACAUCAGUGGCGAAAGCGACUUCUUGGACCAAUACUGACGCUCAAGUGCGAAAGCGUGGGGAGCAAAC